GACUGCAGGCCUUCUGUCCUAGGGGUCUUUUCCCACCCCCACACUCAGGAGCGUGUACAGAUGUUCCCUCUUCCUCCAAUAAAGUGUACCUGAAAUAUGCCAUACGUGUGCCCAGGAGCCACAGCCACAAGCAGGGACAUCUCAACCUCAGGACCUCUGCAUGGCAUCAUCAAGGAGCCAGAGACCCAGAAAGCCUGGAUGCCAAAGGUCACAUGGAGGUAAACAGGAAGCAUAGAACCCCAGGUGCUGUCAGGAGCUACCUGACAACCACAUGGGAAAUCAUUCCGAAGGUGAAGCUGCCACAGGGAGCGAGAGACACAGCCCUGGUGACUUUAUCAACUUCUGGAACAAACUAGCCUGAAGCCCUUCCUAUCUCUUGACUUUCCAGGCACCCAGUUGAGCUGAUUGGAGUCUCCACCUCUGCCCAGUGGAAGAUGCCAUGUUUCUGCUUCCUUGGCUAACUCCUUGGUUUGGUGGAGGACAUCCUGCAGCAGCUUUCUGAGAAAAGGUUUGUGCCUUAAACAAAGUCCCUUCAGUGUCAUCUAGCGAUGCUUCAGGAAGGAGCCCCCUGCUACCCCCAACAACAGCCUCAGCUCUGGAGACACCACCCCUCUCCCCAUGCCCACCGGCACCCACUCCUAAUGCAGAGAGGCAGAGCGUGCCUCCGAGAAUAAGGACUGUCUGCUCCGACCUUGAUGCCUCCCACAGCACCACCAGCUGGAUGAGCCCAGGAGCCCUGGGGACACGGGGUGGACUGGAGGACAAAGACGGCCCCCUCCCCACUCCACUUCACUCUCUCAGUUUCACUGCGAUUAUCCUCCUGUGCUCUGCGGUGUUACCGCCAAUGCUUUAAUUGCUUGGAAAACAAGUCAGUGGUCACCUGUGUGUUCCUGCCACAGAAAUGAGUAGGAUUUUUAGGUGCCACAACCUACCCAAGCUACUUCAAGGGGCUUCAUUUGUUUUUCAAGCGAGGUGCCUGGGGAAGAGGAACACCUACAGGAAAAGGUAAAUCACUGUUCCUUCCUGUUUUCUGCCAUUGCUUAUUGCUGAAGUGGCCAGUCUUCAUCUGAGUCGAGCAGGAGCAGUUACACAGCAAGGAGGCAGAGGGUCCCUCAGCCCCUGCCUGGAGUCAGCUGCCCGGCACCUGCCCCCGACGUGGCCUUGUCCUCGGGAAGGGGUCACGCUUCAGAUGCCUGAUCCAGCUCAGAUCUCAGGGCAGUCCUGGGGGAGGUGAACUCACCCUCCCCCAUGAUACCCUCCACCAUGUCAGAGGUCAGAGGGCAUGGCAUGGGAUUUAAGCCAAUCACCAGCUCACAAUUCUACAGACAAUUAUCUCGGAUUUGAGUUAAAAGGCCAGCCAGGACAGAACCCAGUCACCACACAUUCCUCUGCUAAUGUGUCGUUUCUUGGAAAUGCACAAACAAAUAAAGCAAAAAGCACGCCCCACCGCUGGUGAGUUCUCACGACUCUGCUUGCUGAUGUGGAUACACUGACAGUAGCUCUCAAGGGUUUUAACACUCCGGACAAUUUAAAAUAAAGGAGCUGGUUUAGGGAGGAAAGAAUACAGGAUGUUUUAAACACCAGAAAACUGAAAAUUCUUGCCCCAGGAAAUCAGUGACCCCUACGGAUGAGCACUUGGAAUGAAGGGUCACUGUAAAUGGAAAAAUGAGAACGUCUCUAUUACAAAGAAAGCCCAGGGUAAGGGAAUACCAAUUGGUACCAAUUAGAGACGGAUCAGAUAGGUGGGGAAAGUUCAGAUCCCCUCUGGAGUAUAUUUAUAUAUCCUCUCUAGAGCCAAAGCCUAGUUAACCUAGGCUAUCGGCUUCCCCCAUCGGUGACCCAAUCCACAGUCUCUCUGCAAGAUAUUUCAACGGUGGCUGACUCCACUCAACGUUAUUUGUAAAUAUGUUGCAGGGGACACAUUUUUUCCAACUGUCUGAAACACUGCAAACCGAAUUGCCUUCCAGAAUGAGGACAGUAAUGUGGACUGGCGAGGCAAGAGGGUGCCAGGCAAUAGGGAGUGGUGGGGCCUGUGGCUGAGCCCCAGGCACACAGAGGGGGACACCUGUGGCCAGACCUUCUGGGUUUAUCAACAGCAGCAGGACAACUGGAUUUAUAGGUAAGAUGUCUCCACUUUGAAAACAUUUUAGGCCAACACAAGAUGCCUGAGGCAAUUGAAGACUCCUAGACUAAAGUCACAGAAAAUGACGGCGGCUUUUCUCUACGCAUUGACCAAACCCUCUUGCCUCCCAUAAAGGGACAGCUGGUGGUACUGCAGUCUACCCGCAGGCUUCUGGCUGGGCCAGAGAGCU
Molecule: long non-coding RNA, 2312 nt
Organism: Gorilla gorilla gorilla (western lowland gorilla)
Lineage: Eukaryota; Metazoa; Chordata; Mammalia; Primates; Hominidae
Exons: 4
Source: RefSeq, a predicted model, not a curated record